This 1377-nucleotide long non-coding RNA is filed under the name Gossypium raimondii (Peruvian cotton). RNAcentral describes it as "long non-coding RNA (GRAI_LNC000739)". The record is from RNAcentral. Lineage: Eukaryota; Viridiplantae; Streptophyta; Magnoliopsida; Malvales; Malvaceae.
AAGAGAGACUGACAAAUCAACGAGGCUCAAACACUUUUGCGGGUAAGUAGUUUCUCGUUUAUUAUUAUUAUCUUUAUUACAAAGUAAUUCACAAUUUAUAAUAAGCAAAACAUUUGUAAGAAAAUUAAUUCAAAAUUUAUUGUUUAAAAAUGGAUUAAUCUAUGAUUUUUAUAUCAAAAACAUUGUUAUAUAAAUUAAUCUAAAACUAUAAACUAGUUGGAUGAAACGUUUGAUUGGACUGGUAGUGUCCCUUUCAUUUCUUCCUCUACUUCUUUGAGAAAAAAUGUAAAUAACUGUUUUAGUUUUACAUUUUAAUCAUUAAACUUUUUUAAAAAAUUACUAUAUUGUUUCUUGUAACCCCUCAAACCGGGCUUAAAUGUUACGGCCCAAUCUAAAUGAUUACAUGGGCUAUAGAAAUGGCAAAAACUUGAGUUGAAAAAAUUUGAUUUAAUCUUUAGAAACGCGUGCUAGUUUUUCCCUUAAAUAUGAUGUUAUUAACUAUUACUUUGAAAGAAAUCUUGUUUAUUAUUUGUAAAACAUUGUAAUGAUCUUUAGAAUUUAAGUCCAUUCAAUUGAGUUUGCGGAAAAACGAAUUUUAUCAAGUAAAUACUAAAUCAUUUAAUCCAUGUUAAAAACCCAUGCAAAAUAUCCAAUAACCAAAGUUUUCAAAACGAAAUAUCCCAUGCCACAAUUCAAUAGUUUACCACAAAAUAAAAUCCUAAAUAAAAAUAAUAAAGUCCAUUCAAGUCUCAAAUUAAAAUAUAAGUUCAUAACCAUGAAAACCAUUUUUCCGAUAUCCUAUCCGGUGAUCGAAUCCGAGUCCUAAUCACGAAGGUUAUCUGAAACACAUGAAUAAUGUGAGUGAGCUUUAAAAGACUCAGUGUGAGAUCAAUACAAAAUAUAUUCGCAUACAUAUCAAAAUACACAUAUCAUUCAUGACAUAACAUACAUCAUUAAAUUCAUGGAAUAUAACAUUGAUAUUUAUGCAUGGAUAUAUCGAUGCAUAUUUUAUGAUGUAGUCUCAAUGCACGAUUUUAGACCCACGAAUGUGAUGGGUUCACAUUACCUUAAGGCCCAACAACAAUAUCAAAGGCCAAGCAAAUCAAAAGAUUUGAGGACGAAUCUUUUUGAGGAAAGGGAGAAUGAUACAUGCACGGAUGGGGUGAAAUUUAUUAAAUUCCAAUCACUAAAGCUGCCAAUUUUUAGGCUUGGGAAAUAAGCAAACUUGCGAUGACUUUUUAGAUAGGAUCCUGGCAUUUUUGGGUUGAGAUGUCUCAUGGCAUUUGAAGAUCUAUCUUUUAGCUUCGAAACGUAUUUUGAAUCACUCGAUUUUGAGUUUGGGAGCUCAAGUUGUGACCGUUUUAGUGAAGACUUCUC